Molecule: ribosomal RNA, 468 nt
Filed under: uncultured bacterium
Lineage: Bacteria
Description: partial 16S ribosomal RNA
Rfam family: Bacterial small subunit ribosomal RNA
Source: RNAcentral
GACGAACGCUGGCGGCGUGCUUAGCACAUGCAAGUCGAACGGAAAGGCCCUGCUUUUGUGGGGUGCUCGAGUGGCGAACGGGUGAGUAACACGUGAGUAACCUGCCCUUGACUUUGGGAUAACUUCAGGAAACUGGGGCUAAUACCGGAUAGGAGCUCCUGCUGCAUGGUGGGGGUUGGAAAGUUUCGGCGGUUGGGGAUGGACUCGCGGCUUAUCAGCUUGUUGGUGGGGUAGUGGCUUACCAAGGCUUUGACGGGUAGCCGGCCUGAGAGGGUGACCGGCCACAUUGGGACUGAGAUACGGCCCAGACUCCUACGGGAGGCAGCAGUGGGGAAUAUUGCACAAGGGGCGGAAGCCUGAUGCAGCAACGCCGCGUGCGGGAUGACGGCCUUCGGGUUGUAAACCGCUUUCGCCUGUGACGAAGCGUGAGUGACGGUAAUGGGUAAAGAAGCACCGGCUAACUACGUG